RNAcentral lists this ribosomal RNA (253 nucleotides) under uncultured bacterium. RNAcentral's name for it is "partial 16S ribosomal RNA". It matches the Rfam family "Bacterial small subunit ribosomal RNA", at positions 524 to 776 of the family's 1533-position model. The record is from RNAcentral.
UACAGAGGGUGCAAGCGUUGUUCGGAAUUAUUGGGCGUAAAGGGAGUGUAGGCUGUGAGGUAAGUCUUCUGUGAAAUCUACGGGCUUAGCCUGUAACGUGCAGAGGAAACUGCUUCGCUUGAGUGUCGGAGAGGAUAGGGGAAUACCCGGUGUAGAGGUGAAAUUCGUAGAGAUCGGGUGGAACACCGGUGGCGAAGGCGGCGUCCUGGACCAACACUGACACUGAUGAGCGAAAGCCAGGGGAGCAAACGGG